Long non-coding RNA from Scophthalmus maximus (turbot), 1085 nucleotides. RefSeq lists it as uncharacterized. The transcript is spliced from 4 exons. The record is from RefSeq and is a predicted model, not a curated record. NCBI's taxonomy places the organism in Eukaryota, Metazoa, Chordata, Actinopteri, Pleuronectiformes, Scophthalmidae.
UUUACUGUUUCUGGGGAGUUUCCGCAGCGCCGCAGCGAAUUGUCCUCGUCUUCGCAACCUAGUCUGCUUCUUGCUCCAGUCGUGGUUGUCAGUGGAAGGUCUCCUGCUCCGUCUUCGACCGCAGGUGGACAAGGAGGUGCGACGCCACGCCACGUCGACACCUCCUGCGCAGUCAACCAAUUACCGACAGGCCUGCUGUUGGGUGACCUCUUCCUGAUGCAGGGUGUGGCAGAAGAAGAACAACCAAGUGCACAGUGUGGGUCAUGAGCUGGACAGGAAAUACAAAGCACCAUCAGCAGAGACACGAUUCCGUCAUUGUCAUCAAUGAAAAGCAGAGGACCUGCGAGACACACACACAACGCACAUGACCCAGAGUGAAGAAGAAAGACGGAAAGAAAGAAAGAAAGAAACAGGCUGUGAAAAACCCACAAUGCUACCUGCUCAGCAAUGAGCCGACAAAGCUGGGUCUGCCGGGCCCCCUCAUCUCCCAGGUCCCUAGACUGUGCCCGGUCGGCCGGUUCAGCAACCCGCCCCAUCAGGUUAUAUUUCAAAAAACAUUGGCCGCACAAUCUUUUCCAACAACUGGAUCCACAGCCUCCCACAUGCUGUUUGUAUGUGUCUGGGAAGAAAUCUGGUACACACGACGUAUGUGUGGGGUCCGACAACUUGGCAGUGGACCGAUGAUUUACGGUCUGUAAUACAUCCUGUGAAGAAGUAAAGUGCAUGCCAUCAGCAUGACUGCAUGGGGUUUGUGCCAGCAUAAGGUUAAAGGCCCAGAAAUGAAAGGUUUUGUAAUCAACGAGGAAAGAUGAACCUUUAUUAACAGUUUUCCUUUGCAGCUUAGUCAUUGUGAAGUCACCUUUUCGACUCCGGUCGAUAAAAUACCUACUCCCAAGACAGGAACAUCUCCAGCACGGAGGAGUUCAAAGCCUGGAUGAACAUCAUACAUGAGCACCUCACGUGUGCUACUGUUGGGAAAAUGUGCAAAGGUUCUUUGAAAACCCUUUGCCUUUAGUGUUACCAGUGCCUCUCCUGCCUUCAACACAUACAUUUAUAAAUUUAAAUUUAAAGAAAUUGAACAAAAA